CAGGGUUAGGUGGUGUUAGGUGGUGUUAUGUCAGGAUUAGGUCAGGGUUAGGUGGUGUUAGGUCAGGGUUAGGUGGUGUUAUGUCAGGAUUAGGUCAGGGUUAGGUGGUGUUAGGUCAGGGUUAGGUGGUGUUAUGUCAGGAUUAGGUCAGGGUUAGGUGGUGUUAGGUCAGGGUUAGGUGGUGUUAUGUCAGGAUUAGGUCAGGGUUAGGUGGUGUUAGGUCAGGGUUAGGUGGUGUUAUGUCAGG
Molecule: long non-coding RNA, 247 nt
Organism: Xyrauchen texanus (razorback sucker)
Lineage: Eukaryota; Metazoa; Chordata; Actinopteri; Cypriniformes; Catostomidae
Exons: 3
Source: RefSeq, a predicted model, not a curated record